This is a non-coding RNA of Citrus sinensis (sweet orange), 107 nucleotides long. NCBI's taxonomy places the organism in Eukaryota, Viridiplantae, Streptophyta, Magnoliopsida, Sapindales, Rutaceae. The record is from Rfam.
AUACUAUGGUGAGGACAUCUCCUGAGUAGCUCCUUAAAUCUUUCCCAUACAUCAUACAAACUUUCAUCUUCAAGUUGAUGGAAAGAUGUGAUCUCGUUCCUUAAUUU